RNAcentral lists this ribosomal RNA (466 nucleotides) under uncultured bacterium. RNAcentral describes it as "partial 16S ribosomal RNA". It matches the Rfam family "Bacterial small subunit ribosomal RNA", at positions 28 to 507 of the family's 1533-position model. The record is from RNAcentral.
GACGAACGCUGGCGGCGUGCUUAACACAUGCAAGUCGAACGGAAAGGCCCUGCUUGCAGGGUACUCGAGUGGCGAACGGGUGAGUAACACGUGGGUGAUCUGCCCUGCACUUCGGGAUAAGCUUGGGAAACUGGGUCUAAUACCGGAUAGGACCGCACUUUAGUGUGUGUGGUGGAAAGUUUUUUCGGUGUAGGAUGAGCUCGCGGCCUAUCAGCUUGUUGGUGGGGUAAUGGCCUACCAAGGCGGCGACGGGUAGCCGGCCUGAGAGGGUGUACGGCCACAUUGGGACUGAGAGAGGGCCCAGAGUCCUACGGGAGGCAGCAGGGGGGAAUAUUGCACAAUGGGCGCAAGCCUGAUGCAGCGACGCCGCGUGGGGGAUGAAGGCCUUCGGGUUGUAAACUCCUUUCGCUAGGGACGAAGCUUUGUUGUGACGGUACCUAGAGAAGAAGCACCGGCUAACUACGUG